GGAGGGGUGGUCGAGUGGUUAAAGGCAGCGGAUUGUAACUCCGCCCGCGUAAGCGUACGCAGGUUCGAAUCCUGCCCCCUCCACCA
This 86-nucleotide transfer RNA is filed under the name Alcanivorax sp. RNAcentral's name for it is "tRNA-Tyr". It matches the Rfam family "tRNA". Rfam says of the family: Transfer RNA (tRNA) molecules are approximately 80 nucleotides in length. Their secondary structure includes four short double-helical elements and three loops (D, anti-codon, and T loops). The record is from RNAcentral. Lineage: Bacteria; Pseudomonadati; Pseudomonadota; Gammaproteobacteria; Oceanospirillales; Alcanivoracaceae. RNAcentral also lists the same sequence under 2 other names.